AGGCGUUUAGUUUUAAUCGGCAAAACGUCGGUCUCCAAAACCGAAAUUUUCAGUUCAAAUCUGAACACGCCUGCCA
Molecule: transfer RNA, 76 nt
Filed under: Acidobacteriota bacterium
Lineage: Bacteria; Pseudomonadati; Acidobacteriota
Description: tRNA-Trp
Rfam family: tRNA
About the family: Transfer RNA (tRNA) molecules are approximately 80 nucleotides in length. Their secondary structure includes four short double-helical elements and three loops (D, anti-codon, and T loops).
Source: RNAcentral